AUUGAACGAUGGCGGCAUGCUUUACACAUGCAAGUCGAACGGUAACAGGGUGCUUGCACCGCUGACGAGUGGCGAACGGGUGAGUAAUGCGUCGGAACGUGCCGAGUAGUGGGGGAUAACGCAGCGAAAGUUGUGCUAAUACCGCAUACGUACUGAGGUAGAAAGUGGGGGACCUUCGGGCCUCACGCUAUUCGAGCGGCCGACGUCUGAUUAGCUAGUAGGUGAGGUAAAGGCUCACCUAGGCGACGAUCAGUAGCGGGUCUGAGAGGAUGAUCCGCCACACUGGGACUGAGACACGGCCCAGACUCCUACGGGAGGCAGCAGUGGGGAAUUUUGGACAAUGGGCGAAAGCCUGAUCCAGCCAUGCGGCGUGUCUGAAGAAGGCCUUCGGGUUGUAAAGGACUUUUGUCAGGGAGGAAAUCCCUAGUGCUAAUAACACUGGGGGAUGACAGUACCUGAAGAAUAAGCACCGGCUAACUACGUGCCAGCCGCCGCAGUAA
RNAcentral lists this ribosomal RNA (500 nucleotides) under uncultured bacterium. Its description in RNAcentral is "partial 16S ribosomal RNA". It matches the Rfam family "Bacterial small subunit ribosomal RNA", at positions 30 to 523 of the family's 1533-position model. The record is from RNAcentral.